Mastomys coucha (southern multimammate mouse) is the source of this 1141-nucleotide long non-coding RNA. RefSeq lists it as uncharacterized. The record is from RefSeq and is a predicted model, not a curated record. The transcript is spliced from 2 exons. Lineage: Eukaryota; Metazoa; Chordata; Mammalia; Rodentia; Muridae.
GAGUGUAUGGCUGAAGGAAGUCUCCCAUAAAUCAGUACUGAAGUCUUGACCUCAAGGCCCUCAGAACGUGACUGUAUUUGUAGAGUGGGUCUUUAAAAGGUAAUUAUGGGGAGAGUGAGAUGGUUCAGCAAGGAAAGCUGCACACUGUCAUGAUGAUGACUUGAGCUCAAUCCCUACAUCUCUUAUGGUGGAAAUAAAAACAAAACAGAAACAAGCACAAGUUGUCCUCGGAACCGCACCCAUGUAUGUGCAUGGCACACAUGCACCAAAUAAAAUUUUCAAUUGUAAAAAAUGUAUGUUAGGAAAAAAAAAGGAUAGUAUAGAUAGUAUAUAAAAAGAAAAAUAGGAAAAGAUAAACAAAUAAAAAGCAGAGCCAGCUCUGAUGACAAAGGCAUGGUGAGCUAGCCUUCAAAGGUGUGAGAUCAGGAGAGCUGGCCCAGCCCCUCACAGGCUGCAGUACUUGGGAGAGUGGCUCCCACACCUUGACUGGGCUAGCUCUGGAGGUGUGAGUGAGGUGAGCUGUGAGGGUAUGGGAGCAGGAUUGGGUGCCCUUAACUGGAGCAGUGCUGGAGAGCUCUCCCAAUAACUAAAGGAGAGCAGGUAGCUGACCAGCUCAGCUAAGACUCAGGCCCUGUUCUGAACUGGCCCACCCCAAAACCUCUAUCAUCUCCAAAUGAUUGGGACGUGUGAAAGCACCAGUCCUGCUGUUCCAAAGCUGCAAGAUCAUCAUGACACAGGAUGACAACAGGAUGGCCAGGAGGAGGAUCCAAUAUUGAUGGUAUCACAGAAGCCAAAGAUCUCAAGCCAGACCCAUAGUGACUCAUUGCAAUGAACAUUUGCAAGUGAACAAGUGUGGACAGAGGGACAUACACUGGGACACACUGUGAUGUACUGCAGCUUUCCACAAUGAGAAGCCCUUUUGUUCCCUGGUAAAUGCACAGUGUGGUUCCCUUGGAGAUCUCAGAAAAGGCUGAGCCACCAUCAACUCCCCCAAGACCGGCUGGCUAGGAAGAACGCAUUCCCUCCAGUGCCUCUCUCCCCGAGUGAGUCACACAAUGAAUCAUGUCUAAUGAUGUGCUGCUGCGCCCUGAGUUUACCCCACCUGGAGGGCACACCAAGGUGGCAGUAAUAACACACCUCA